GAAGGAUCAUAAAAGAGUAAGGGUGCUCAGCGCCCGACCUCCAACCCUUUGUUGUUAAAACUACCUUGUUGCUUUGGCGGGACCGCUCGGUCUCGAGCCGCUGGGGAUUCGUCCCAGGCGAGCGCCCGCCAGAGUUAAACCAAACUCUUGUUAUUAAACCGGUCGUCUGAGUUAAAAUUUUGAAUAAAUCAAAACUUUCAACAACGGAUCUCUUGGUUCUCGCAUCGAUGAAGAACGCAGCGAAAUGCGAUAAGUAAUGUGAAUUGCAGAAUUCAGUGAAUCAUCGAAUCUUUGAACGCACAUUGCGCCCCUUGGUAUUCCGAGGGGCAUGCCUGUUCGAGCGUCAUUACACCACUCAAGCUAUGCUUGGUAUUGGGUGCCGUCCUUAGUUGGGCGCGCCUUAAAGACCUCGGCGAGGCCUCACCGGCUUUAGGCGUAGUAGAAUUUAUUCGAACGUCUGUCAGAGGAGAGGACUUCUGCCGACUGAAACCUUUAUUUUUCUAGGUUGACCUCGGAUCAGGUAGGGAUACCCGCUGAACUUAAGCAUAUCAAUAAGCGGAGGAAAAGAAACCAACAGGGAUUGCCUCAGUAACG
This 594-nucleotide ribosomal RNA is filed under the name uncultured fungus. Its description in RNAcentral is "eukaryotic LSU rRNA". The stretch from base 193 to 346 matches the Rfam family "5.8S ribosomal RNA". Lineage: Eukaryota; Fungi. The record is from RNAcentral.